RNAcentral lists this ribosomal RNA (403 nucleotides) under Fusobacteriota bacterium. Its description in RNAcentral is "Fusobacteria bacterium partial 16S ribosomal RNA". It matches the Rfam family "Bacterial small subunit ribosomal RNA", at positions 355 to 776 of the family's 1533-position model. Lineage: Bacteria; Fusobacteriati; Fusobacteriota. The record is from RNAcentral.
UGGGGAAUAUUGCACAAUGGAGGGAACUCUGAUGCAGCGACGCCGCGUUAACGAAGAAGGCUUUCGAGUCGUAAAGUUCUUUUAUAUGGGAAGAUAAUGACGGUACCAUAAGAAAAAGCUCCGGCUAACUACGUGCCAGCAGCCGCGGUAAUACGUAGGGGGCUAGCGUUGUCCGGAAUCACUGGGCGUAAAGGGUUCGCAGGCGGAAAUGCAAGUCAGGUGUAAAAGGCAGUAGCUUAACUACUGUAAGCAUUUGAAACUGCAUAUCUUGAGAAGAGUAGAGGUAAGUGGAAUUUUUAGUGUAGCGGUGAAAUGCGUAGAUAUUAAAAAGAAUACCGGUGGCGAAGGCGACUUACUGGGCUCAUUCUGACGCUGAGGAACGAAAGCGUGGGUAGCAAACAGG